GCUGCUACAGAAGCCGAUCACACCCUAGGGAAGCAGGCAGAGUGACCACCCCAGUUUUAUGAUAACAACUGUGAAGUUGGAUGGAAGAAAGUACUUAGCCUGGUCUCAGCCGGCAAGGAUGUUCAUAGGGAGCAGAAGGAAGUCUUGGUAUAUUACCGGUUCUAAGAAGGAGCCGCCUGCAGAUGAUCCAUCCCAUGAGGAUUGGGAAAGUAACAAUCUGACGGUUAUGUCUUGGCUUCUUCAUUCGAUGCAGCCCACAAUUAGCGUAGCGAGGGGUGUUCUUGAGGACAGCAAAGGAGAUAUGGGAUACAGUCCAAGAGAUGUAUUCUCAGAGAAAUUCUUUGGCACGAAAUUACCAACUGCAUCGGGAGAUUUCCACCAUGCAGCAAGGGGAGAUGCCCAUGGAAGAGUACUACGCGGCUCUGAAAAAGUGGGAGGAAUUAGAUCACUAUCAGCCCUUAGCGACCACAGUAGAAGGAAGGUAUUAGGAAAGAUAAUUCGUAGCGGAGAAUCUUCGAGUAUCUGGCCGGGCUUCGAUCUGAGUAUGAGCUUCAGAGCGUGCAGGUUCAAACUAGGGAAGGAUACUUGACCUUCCUUGGAAUCUGUUUACAUGAGGGGGUGAAGCAAGUCGUCGUGCUAUGAGUGGUGGGUUCUAAUAUUUCAGAGAGGUCCGCACUGGUAGCUGAUUCUAGACCGUACAGAGGGAACCAGAGUUCUGGUAAGGGCCAGACCGGGACCCCAUGUCUUCUGCAGAUAGAGAGAAGCUCCGUUGCACUCAUUGUGGCAAAUGGGGGCGCAGGCAUCUCUUAGAGGUCACUUGUUCCAUCAUGCAUGAUAGGGAUGAAGGUUCCUAAGAUCUAUUGGGAUGAGGCUGUUCUAACAGCCACCUAUAUGAUCAACAGAAUGCCG
Non-coding RNA from Lupinus albus (white lupine), 909 nucleotides. The record is from the annotation of a GenBank genome assembly. NCBI's taxonomy places the organism in Eukaryota, Viridiplantae, Streptophyta, Magnoliopsida, Fabales, Fabaceae.